Molecule: ribosomal RNA, 253 nt
Filed under: uncultured bacterium
Lineage: Bacteria
Description: partial 16S ribosomal RNA
Rfam family: Bacterial small subunit ribosomal RNA
Source: RNAcentral
UACGAAGGGGGCUAGCGUUGUUCGGAAUUACUGGGCGUAAAGCGCGCGCAGGCGGCUAUCCAAGUCAGUGGUGAAAGCCCGGAGCUCAACUCCGGAAUUGCCAUUGAAACUGUGAGACUGGAGUACGAGAGAGGUGAGUGGAAUUCCCAGUGUAGAGGUGAAAUUCGUAGAUAUUGGGAAGAACACCGGUGGCGAAGGCGGCUCACUGGCUCGUAACUGACGCUCAGGCGCGACAGCGUGGGGAUCAAACAGG